CAGUCGCCACGGUAACACGGAGGGUGCAAGCGUUAUCCGGAUUUAUUGGGUUUAAAGGGUCCGUAGGCGGAUCUGUAAGUCAGUGGUGAAAUCUCACAGCUUAACUGUGAAACUGCCAUUGAUACUGCAGGUCUUGAGUAAAUUUGAAGUGGCUGGAAUAAGUAGUGUAGCGGUGAAAUGCAUAGAUAUUACUUAGAACACCAAUUGCGAAGGCAGGUCACUAAGAUUUAACUGACGCUGAUGGACGAAAGCGUGGGGAGCGAACAGGAUUAGAUACCCGCGUAGUCCCUGUCUCUUAUAC
This 301-nucleotide ribosomal RNA is filed under the name uncultured bacterium. RNAcentral's name for it is "partial 16S ribosomal RNA". It matches the Rfam family "Bacterial small subunit ribosomal RNA", at positions 509 to 807 of the family's 1533-position model. The record is from RNAcentral.